GGGGUUGUGGCUUAGCGGUAGAGUGCUUACCUAGCACGAAUGAAGCCCUGGGUUCCAUCCUCAGCACCACA
This 71-nucleotide transfer RNA is filed under the name Marmota monax (woodchuck). RNAcentral describes it as "tRNA.Ala". Lineage: Eukaryota; Metazoa; Chordata; Mammalia; Rodentia; Sciuridae. The record is from RNAcentral.